UGCGUAGGCGGGCUAAUUAGUCAGUGGUGAAAACCUGCAGCUUAACUGUAGACUUGCCAUUGAUACUAUUAGUCUUGAGUACGGUCAAGGUAGGCGGAAUGUGUAAUGUAGCGGUGAAAUGCUUAGAUAUUACACAGAACACCGAUUGCGAAGGCAGCUUACUGGGCCAUUACUGACGCUGAGGCACGAAAGCGUGGGGAGCGAACAGGAUUAGAUACCCUGGUAGUCC
Molecule: ribosomal RNA, 229 nt
Filed under: uncultured bacterium
Lineage: Bacteria
Description: partial 16S ribosomal RNA
Rfam family: Bacterial small subunit ribosomal RNA
Source: RNAcentral